AGCUAACAUAGCCCUUUUAGAUAUUUUUCUAGCAGGUUUUCUGACUUUGGAAAACCCAG
This is a small nuclear RNA of 59 nucleotides. Its record names the gene U7. It matches the Rfam family "U7 small nuclear RNA". Rfam says of the family: Animal histone pre-mRNAs are spliced by a different mechanism than nuclear pre-mRNAs and self-splicing introns. This processing involves the U7 snRNP, which contains only one RNA species: U7. The record is from Ensembl.